UGUAUCGGGCUGCAGGGAAAUCAGUUUUACAGCAUCGCAGCCUGUGGGUGAUAAACUACAACGGUCCUGGGCUAUGGAUGACGUUCCACCGCUUUCACAGAUGCACAGAGGAGGAACAGCGGCUGGAGAAUCUGCUACAGAGCCAGAGGGCGUGUGCGGUGAUUCCCUUUCCUCACAGGGGAUGUGGUCAGGUGCCCAACCUCGGAAUCCCGACACCACGCAGAAUCUUGGCACCAGAAUCUCGACCGAUGGCAUCCAGAUACCUCGUGUUACAUUUGGUAAAAACGGAUGUUGCGCUAAAGAUUUCAGACGAGCAGCAUUUGUCCAAUGGUGUCAUUUCAUAAAUCACACAAUGCCUGUAUAAAAUAUACAUAACGCAUUAAAAAGUCAAUAAAUGAAAUAAAAAAAAAAAGAAGUAAAUA
Pseudophryne corroboree (corroboree frog) is the source of this 422-nucleotide long non-coding RNA. RefSeq lists it as uncharacterized. The record is from RefSeq and is a predicted model, not a curated record. The transcript is spliced from 3 exons. Lineage: Eukaryota; Metazoa; Chordata; Amphibia; Anura; Myobatrachidae.